GACAGAGGUGCCGAGCGUUAGGCGGAAUCACUGGGCUUAAAGCGUGUGUAGGCGGGCGGGCAAGUACCUUGUGAAAUCCCACGGCUCAACCGUGGAACUGCUGGGUAUACUGCCUGUCUUGAGCCAGCCAGGGGCAGUCGGAACAGACGGUGGAGCGGUGAAAUGCGUAGAUAUCGUCUGGAACGCCAAAGGUGAAAACAGACUGCUGGGGCUGUGCUGACGCUGAGGCGCGAAAGCCAGGGGAUCAAACGGG
Molecule: ribosomal RNA, 253 nt
Filed under: uncultured bacterium
Lineage: Bacteria
Description: partial 16S ribosomal RNA
Rfam family: Bacterial small subunit ribosomal RNA
Source: RNAcentral